RNAcentral lists this ribosomal RNA (231 nucleotides) under Triticum aestivum (bread wheat). Its description in RNAcentral is "partial small subunit ribosomal RNA". The record is from RNAcentral. Lineage: Eukaryota; Viridiplantae; Streptophyta; Magnoliopsida; Poales; Poaceae.
AUGGGUGUUGGCUCCAACAAUUCGCAUUGGUCUCAAACCAGUGACAUGCAUUUCGAAAACCAUGAGUUCGAGGUGGACGAGGAUGGUGAGGGCAUUGUCGACGCACCGAAAGGAAGAGGAUGCAACUACACCAACGACAAAGACAUCUUGCUAUGCAAAACUUGGUUGGACGUGUCGAGGGAUCCAUCCGUUAGAGGUGACAAAGUAGAGAUGCUUAUUGACUCCGGAUGA